GCCAAGGGGGAAAGAGCAAGUAGAGGCCUGAGUAGUUCCUGAUAUUGGAUCCUCAUGAAAUGAGAUGCGUAACAUGUGAAGCUAUCGUGAGACAAAUGGAAAAAAAGAGGAAAAUAGAAACGAAAAAGAACCCCAAACUUUUGAAAUGCGUGAGCAAUCACUGUGAUUACUAUAUUUACCUGAAUCAAAGAUGACUUCAAAUUUAAGACAAUGCCACCAAUAAUUAGAAGUGUGUUACAGGUUUUGUUACCUCUCCCCUACCCCUCAGCAUCCCCCUC
This is a long non-coding RNA of Alligator sinensis (Chinese alligator), 278 nucleotides long. RefSeq lists it as uncharacterized. Lineage: Eukaryota; Metazoa; Chordata; Crocodylia; Alligatoridae. The transcript has 3 exons. The record is from RefSeq and is a predicted model, not a curated record.